ACUCCUACGGGAGGCAGCAGUGGGGGAUAUUGCACAAUGGGCGAAAGCCUGAUGCAGCAACGCCGCGUGAGGGAAGACGGUUUUCGGAUUGUAAACCUCUGUCUUCGGUGAAGAAACAAAUGACGGUAGCCGAGGAGGAAGCCACGGCUAACUACGUGCCAGCAGCCGCGGUAAUACGUAGGUGGCAAGCGUUGUCCGGAAUUACUGGGUGUAAAGGGAGCGCAGGCGGGGAGACAAGUCAGCUGUGAAAACUAUGGGCUUAACCCAUAAACUGCAGUUGAAACUGUUUUUCUUGAGUGGAGUAGAGGUAGGCGGAAUUCCGAGUGUAGCGGUGAAAUGCGUAGAUAUUCGGAGGAACACCAGUGGCGAAGGCGGCCUACUGGGCUCUAACUGACGCUGAGGCUCGAAAGUGUGGGGAGCAAACAGGAUUAGAUACCCUGGUAGUCCACACUGUAAACGAUGAUUGCUAGGUGUGGGGGGGCUUACCCCUUCCGUGCCGCAGCUAACGCAAUAAGC
Molecule: ribosomal RNA, 516 nt
Filed under: uncultured bacterium
Lineage: Bacteria
Description: bacterial SSU rRNA
Rfam family: Bacterial small subunit ribosomal RNA
Source: RNAcentral